This 460-nucleotide ribosomal RNA is filed under the name uncultured bacterium. RNAcentral describes it as "partial 16S ribosomal RNA". It matches the Rfam family "Bacterial small subunit ribosomal RNA", at positions 338 to 795 of the family's 1533-position model. The record is from RNAcentral.
CCUACGGGUGGCAGCAGUGAGGAAUAUUGGUCAAUGGACGCAAGUCUGAACCAGCCAUGCCGCGUGCAGGAAGACGGCUCUAUGAGUUGUAAACUGCUUUUGUACGAGGGUAAACGCAGAUACGCGUAUCUGUCUGAAAGUACCGUACGAAUAAGGAUCGGCUAACUCCGUGCCAGCAGCCGCGGUAAUACGGAGGAUUCAAGCGUUAUCCGGAUUUAUUGGGUUUAAAGGGUGCGUAGGCGGUCUGAUAAGUUAGAGGUGAAAGCCCGAGGCUCAACUUCGGAAUUGCCUCUGAUACUGUCCGGCUAGAGAGUAGUAGAGGUAGGCGGAAUGUAUGGUGUAGCGGUGAAAUGCUUAGAGAUCAUGCAGAACACCGAUUGCGAAGGCAGCUUACCAAGCUACUUCUGACGUUGAGGCACGAAAGCGUGGGGAGCAAACAGGAUUAGAUACCCCGGUAGUC